This 304-nucleotide ribosomal RNA is filed under the name uncultured Archaeospora. Its description in RNAcentral is "SSU rRNA". It matches the Rfam family "Eukaryotic small subunit ribosomal RNA", at positions 569 to 877 of the family's 1831-position model. Lineage: Eukaryota; Fungi; Glomeromycota; Glomeromycetes; Archaeosporales; Archaeosporaceae. The record is from RNAcentral.
AGCAGCCGCGGUAAUUCCAGCUCCAAUAGCGUAUAUUAAAGUUGUUGCAGUUAAAAAGCUCGUAGUUGAAUUUUAGGCCUGACCGGGCGGUCCGUCUCUGGCGAGUACUGUUCUGUUGUCGGGUCUAUCCUUCUGGUGAGCCGGUAUGUCCUUUAUUGGGUGUGUCGGGGAACCAGGACCAUUACCUUAGAAAAAUUAGAGUGUUUAAAGCGGGCUUUUAGCUUGAAUAGAUUAGCAUGGAAUAAUAGGAAUAGGACGUUGGUUCUAUUUUGUUGGUCUAGGACCACCGUAAUGAUUAAUAGGG